UACGGAAGGCAGCAGUGGGGAAUAUUGCACAAUGGGCGCAAGCCUGAUGCAGCCAUGCCGCGUGUAUGAAGAAGGCCUUCGGGUUGUAAAGUACUUUUCAGUCGUGAGGAAGGUGUUAAGGUUAAUAACCUUAGCAAUUGACGUUAGCGACAGAAGAAGCACCGGCUAACUCCGUGCCAGCAGCCGCGGUAAUACGGAGGGUGCGAGCGUUAAUCGGAAUUACUGGGCGUAAAGGGCACGCAGGCGGUUAAUUAAGUUGGAUGUGAAAUCCCCGGGCUUAACCUGGGAAUGGCAUUCAAGACUGGUUAGCUAGAGUCUUGUAGAGGGGGUAGAAUUCCAUGUGUAGCGGUGAAAUGCGUAGAGAUGUGGAGGAAUACCGGUGGCGAAGGCGGCCCCUGGACAAAGGACUGACGCUCAUGUGCGAAAGCGUGGGGAGCGAAAC
Molecule: ribosomal RNA, 442 nt
Filed under: uncultured bacterium
Lineage: Bacteria
Description: bacterial SSU rRNA
Rfam family: Bacterial small subunit ribosomal RNA
Source: RNAcentral